This is a long non-coding RNA of Dicentrarchus labrax (European seabass), 678 nucleotides long. RefSeq lists it as uncharacterized. The record is from RefSeq and is a predicted model, not a curated record. NCBI's taxonomy places the organism in Eukaryota, Metazoa, Chordata, Actinopteri, Moronidae. The transcript is spliced from 3 exons.
UUGGGCCGGCCCUGUUGACAAAUCACACAUUUUUAAUCAACUAUCUGUACAAACCGGUUAGUACCAAGAACUCAGGUGUUGAUGGUGUUUGUUCUUUAUAAAAGAGGUUUCUCUGUUGUUCUCUCAGGCUGUGGCAGAGAUUGGGGACUCGAGUUUGCGACUCGGACUCGAGACGCACUUAAGUCGCACACACAGAGACUUCAGACUUGACUUGGACUCGUGUUUUGGGACUCGUGAACAAUCAUUAUGUUUUCUUUUUUGGCGUAUUAAUACUGAGGAAACUCUGAAACGUCUGACGAGCUUAAUGUGAUUCCUUCCUUUGUUUCAUGGUAACCAUAUUACACAUUGGGUGCGCGCCUCGCAGCCUCACGCACUAGUACCUCGGAUGACGACUAUGGCGACCGGCGGCACGCCUGCAGCUGCUGCUGUACCAUUUGUGAUUACAUUUGGUUAUAAAAACUUCAAACAGGACGGCAUCAACAAAGGAGCACUGACUGCAAAGUCUGCAGUACCCCAAUCAAGGAUGCUGGAUCCACCACAUCACAUUUUAUCAGGCACCUGAAAACUCACCCGGAGAGGUUUUCUGAAUUCAACAGAGCGAAAAAAGUGGCCAGUGGCAGUGCAGAGGGACAGAGCAGCCUUGACUCUUUCUUAACAAAACCAGGUACAGCAGUGAGC